RNAcentral lists this ribosomal RNA (247 nucleotides) under uncultured bacterium. RNAcentral describes it as "partial 16S ribosomal RNA". It matches the Rfam family "Bacterial small subunit ribosomal RNA", at positions 523 to 769 of the family's 1533-position model. The record is from RNAcentral.
AUACGUAGGUGGCAAGCGUUAUCCGGAUUUACUGGGUGUAAAGGGCGCGUAGGCGGGGAUGCAAGUCAGAUGUGAAAUCUAUGGGCUUAACCCAUAAACUGCAUUUGAAACUGUAUCUCUUGAGUGUCGGAGAGGUAGACGGAAUUCCUAGUGUAGCGGUGAAAUGCGUAGAUAUUAGGAGGAACACCAGUGGCGAAGGCGGUCUACUGGACGAUAACUGACGCUGAGGCGCGAAAGCGUGGGGAGC